This 876-nucleotide ribosomal RNA is filed under the name Triticum aestivum (bread wheat). RNAcentral describes it as "partial small subunit ribosomal RNA". Lineage: Eukaryota; Viridiplantae; Streptophyta; Magnoliopsida; Poales; Poaceae. The record is from RNAcentral.
AUGGGAGACUUCAAUGAAGCUCUCUGGCAACGCGAGCACUUGUCAGCUACCCCUCGGCCUGCUUGCCAGAUUGCAGCCUUCCGUGACAUCGUCCAAGACUGUGAGCUCCAUGACCUUGGGUUUUCAGGAGCACCAUUCACAUAUGAUAACAAGCGAAAAGGAAGAGCGAAUGUCAAAGUUAGGUUGGACCGAGCCCUGGCCGACGACCGCUGGAGGGACUUAUUCUCUGAUGCACGUGUGGUACACCUCGUGUCCCCUUGUUCUGAUCAUCUAUUGAUCAUAAUUGAGCUGCAGAAAGAAGAGCGCCCACCAAGCCGUGGCCGCACCAACCGAUAUGAAAUAUUAUGGGAACGAGCAGGCGAAUUUCCAGAGAUCAUCCAGAGGGCUUGGGAUGCUACCCAAACAAGCGGGAAUCUGGCUUUGGUAACAGCUGGACUAAACAAAAUCAUGGAGGAGCUACAUGGCUGGAGCCGGCGGCGGUUUGGUAAUAUCAUGCGAGAGGUGGAGCGUACACGACGUAAACUUGAGCAACUAGUGCAAUCAAAUGGUGACCAAAGCGAAAUCCACCGACUAUCUGAUAGCAUGGACGAGUUGCUCUAUAAAGAGGAGCUUCUUUGGCUGCAACGCUCAUGUGUUAAUUGGCUCAAAGACGGUGACAGAAACACUAAGUUUUUCCAUAGCCAAUCUGUUUGGAGAGCCCAAAAGAACAAGAUAAAAAAGUUGAAGGACGACACGGGGGUAUGGCAGAGCAACCCCUCGGUCAUGGAACUGAUUGCAUCUUCAUUCUUCAAAGAGUUGUUCACCCGCGACCCAUCUCUAAAUGCGGAUGAAAUUCUCGACUUGGUAGAGCAGAAAGUGUCCGUCCUAUCAGUCUAA